RNA transcript from Enhydra lutris kenyoni (northern sea otter), 625 nucleotides. It is a transcript of the gene named ubiquitin carboxyl-terminal hydrolase isozyme L5 pseudogene, with no coding region annotated. The transcript has a single exon. NCBI's taxonomy places the organism in Eukaryota, Metazoa, Chordata, Mammalia, Carnivora, Mustelidae. The record is from RefSeq and is a predicted model, not a curated record.
UUUAGAUGCAUGCAAUCAAGAUGAUGGGAUGAGCGCAGUGAGACCAGUCAUAGCAAAAAGGAUACAAAAGUAUAGUGAAGGCGAAAUUCGAUUUAACUUAAUGGCCAUUGUAUCUGACAGAAAAAUGAUAUAUGAACAGAAGAUAGCAGAGUUACAAAGACAGCUUGCUGAGGAACCCAUGGAUACAGACCAGAGUAAUAAUAUGUUAAGUGCUAUUCAGUCAGAGGUUGCCAAAAACGGGAUGCUUAUUGAAGAAGUACAGAAACUAAAAAGAUACAAGAUUGAAAAUAUCAGAAGGAAGCAUAAUUACCAGCCUUUCAUUAUGGAAUUAUUAAAGACUUUAGCAGAACACCAACAGUUAAUACCACUAGUAGAAAAGGCAAAAGAAAAACAGAAUGCAAAGAAAGCACAGGAAACCAAAUGAAGAAGAUGCGUUGGGAUGUAUACAUAUUUCUGCUUCUGCACUUAUUUUCAUGGAAACCAUUAAGUAUAAAGAACUUUGAGCAACAUCCUAAUUGACUCAGUGCAUGUUUGGCAAUAGUACCAGUCUGUCUUGUCUUUAAUGCAUGGAUUCUUUCCCAACCUGCAUCAUGUGCAUGUAGUGCAUAUUAAAUAAAAGUGAUAU